GCGCACGCAGGCGGUCUGUCAAGUCGGAUGUGAAAUCCCCGGGCUCAACCUGGGAACUGCAUUCGAAACUGGCAGGCUUGAGUCUUGUAGAGGGGGGUAGAAUUCCAGGUGUAGCGGUGAAAUGCGUAGAGAUCUGGAGGAAUACCGGUGGCGAAGGCGGCCCCCUGGACAAAGACUGACGCUCAGGUGCGAAAGCGUGGGGAGCAAACAGGAUUAGAUACCCUGGUAGUCCACGCCGUAAACGAUGUCUACUUGGAGGUUGUGCCCUUGAGGCGUGGCUUCCGGAGCUAACGCGUUAA
Molecule: ribosomal RNA, 299 nt
Filed under: Salmonella enterica subsp. enterica
Lineage: Bacteria; Pseudomonadati; Pseudomonadota; Gammaproteobacteria; Enterobacterales; Enterobacteriaceae
Description: partial 16S ribosomal RNA
Rfam family: Bacterial small subunit ribosomal RNA
Source: RNAcentral